RNAcentral lists this ribosomal RNA (511 nucleotides) under uncultured Desulfobulbus sp. RNAcentral's name for it is "bacterial SSU rRNA". It matches the Rfam family "Bacterial small subunit ribosomal RNA", at positions 903 to 1382 of the family's 1533-position model. The record is from RNAcentral. Lineage: Bacteria; Pseudomonadati; Thermodesulfobacteriota; Desulfobulbia; Desulfobulbales; Desulfobulbaceae.
CGCCUUGCCAGCCCGCUACAGAACUCAAAGGAAUUGACGGGGGCCCGCACAAGCGGUGGAGUAUGUGGUUUAAUUCGAUGCAACGCGAAGAACCUUACCUGGUCUUGACAUCCCGGAGACCCUUAGGAAACUAGGGGGUGCUUCCAUCUGGAAGAAUCUGGAGACAGGUGCUGCAUGGCUGUCGUCAGCUCGUGUCGUGAGAUGUUGGGUUAAGUCCCGCAACGAGCGCAACCCUUGCCUUUAGUUGCCAGCAGUUCGGCUGGGCACUCUAAAGGGACUGCCGGUGUUAAACCGGAGGAAGGUGGGGAUGACGUCAAGUCCUCAUGGCCUUUAUGACCAGGGCUACACACGUACUACAAUGGCCGAUACAAAGGGCAGCGACACUGCGAGGUGAAGCCAAUCCCGUAAAAUCGGUCUCAGUCCGGAUUGGAGUCUGCAACUCGACUCCAUGAAGUUGGAAUCGCUAGUAAUCGUGGAUCAGCAUGCCACGGUGAAUACGUUCCCGGGCCUU